Molecule: ribosomal RNA, 460 nt
Filed under: uncultured bacterium
Lineage: Bacteria
Description: partial 16S ribosomal RNA
Rfam family: Bacterial small subunit ribosomal RNA
Source: RNAcentral
CCUACGGGUGGCAGCAGUGAGGAAUAUUGGUCAAUGGACGAGAGUCUGAACCAGCCAAGUAGCGUGAAGGAUGACUGCCCUAUGGUUUGUAAACUUCGUUUAUAUGGGAAUAAAACAGGGUAUGCAUACCCUCUUGUAUGUACCAUAUGAAUAAGGAUCGGCUAACUCCGGGCCAGCAGCCGCGGUAAUACGGAGGGUCCGAGCGUUACCCGGAUUUAUUGGGUGUAAAGGGAGAGUAGGUGGAAUGUUAAGUCAGGUGUGAAAGUUUGCGGCUCAACCGUAAAAUUGCAGUUGAAACUGGCAGUCUUGAGUACAGUAGAGGUGAGCGGAAGUCGUGGUGUAGCGGUGAAAUGCUUAGAUAUCACGAAGAACUCCGAUUGCGAAGGCGGCUCACUGGACUGCAACUGACACUGAUGCUCGAAAGUGUGGGUAUCAAACAGGAUUAGAUACCCGAGUAGUC